UACGUAGGGUGCGAGCGUUGUCCGGAAUUAUUGGGCGUAAAGAGCUCGUAGGCGGUCUGUCGCGUCUGCUGUGAAAUCCCGAGGCUCAACCUCGGGCUUGCAGUGGGUACGGGCAGGCUAGAGUGCGGUAGGGGAGAAUGGAACUCCUGGUGUAGCGGUGGAAUGCGCAGAUAUCAGGAAGAACACCGAUGGCGAAGGCAGUUCUCUGGGCCGUAACUGACGCUGAGGAGCGAAAGCGUGGGGAGCAAACAGG
This 253-nucleotide ribosomal RNA is filed under the name uncultured bacterium. Its description in RNAcentral is "partial 16S ribosomal RNA". It matches the Rfam family "Bacterial small subunit ribosomal RNA", at positions 524 to 776 of the family's 1533-position model. The record is from RNAcentral.